RNAcentral lists this ribosomal RNA (709 nucleotides) under uncultured bacterium. Its description in RNAcentral is "bacterial SSU rRNA". It matches the Rfam family "Bacterial small subunit ribosomal RNA", at positions 60 to 768 of the family's 1533-position model. The record is from RNAcentral.
AGUCGAGGGGUAGAGUUAGCUUGCUAACUUGAGACCGGCGCACGGGUGCGUAACGCGUAUGCAAUCUACCUUUCACAAAGGGAUAGCCCAGAGAAAUUUGGAUUAAUACCUCAUAGUAUAGCAGUUUCGCAUGAAACCACUAUUAAAGAUUUAUCGGUGAAAGAUGAGCAUGCGUCCCAUUAGCUAGUUGGUAAGGUAACGGCUUACCAAGGCAACGAUGGGUAGGGGUCCUGAGAGGGAGAUCCCCCACACUGGUACUGAGACACGGACCAGACUCCUACGGGAGGCAGCAGUGAGGAAUAUUGGACAAUGGGCGCAAGCCUGAUCCAGCCAUGCCGCGUGCAGGAUGACGGUCCUAUGGAUUGUAAACUGCUUUUAUACGAGAAGAAACCCUCCGACGUGUCGGAGCUUGACGGUAUCGUAAGAAUAAGGAUCGGCUAACUCCGUGCCAGCAGCCGCGGUAAUACGGAGGAUCCAAGCGUUAUCCGGAAUCAUUGGGUUUAAAGGGUCCGUAGGCGGUCAGGUAAGUCAGUGGUGAAAGCCCAUCGCUCAACGGUGGAACGGCCAUUGAUACUGUCUGACUUGAAUUAUUAGGAAGUAACUAGAAUAUGUAGUGUAGCGGUGAAAUGCUUAGAGAUUACAUGGAAUACCAAUUGCGAAGGCAGGUUACUACUAAUGGAUUGACGCUGAUGGACGAAAGCGUGGGUAG